RNAcentral lists this ribosomal RNA (368 nucleotides) under uncultured organism. RNAcentral describes it as "bacterial SSU rRNA". It matches the Rfam family "Bacterial small subunit ribosomal RNA", at positions 526 to 896 of the family's 1533-position model. The record is from RNAcentral.
CGAAGGUCCCAAGCGUUAUCCGGAUUUAUUGGGUUUAAAGGGUGCGUAGGCGGAUUAUUAAGUCAGUGGUGAAAGCCUUCAGCUUAACUGAAGAACUGCCAUUGAUACUGAUGAUCUUGAGUAUGAUUGAGGUGGGCGGAAUGUGUCAUGUAGCGGUGAAAUGCUUAGAUAUGACACAGAACACCGAUUGCGAAGGCAGCUCACUAAGUCAUAACUGACGCUGAGGCACGAAAGCGUGGGGAGCAAACAGGAUUAGAUACCCUGGUAGUCCACGCCCUAAACGAUGAUCACUCGAUGUGUGCGAUAUACUGUACGCGUCUGAGCGAAAGCAUUAAGUGAUCCACCUGGGGAGUACGACCGCAAGGUUG